GGUCAUAGCUCAGUGGUACAGCAUCUUCUUUGCAUGCAAAAGUCCCCUGGUUCAACCCCUGGGAUCUCCA
Molecule: non-coding RNA, 70 nt
Organism: Podarcis lilfordi (Lilford's wall lizard)
Lineage: Eukaryota; Metazoa; Chordata; Lepidosauria; Squamata; Lacertidae
Source: the annotation of a GenBank genome assembly